GGAGUCUAUUUUGACAUAUUAUACAUACAUGGAGUGUAACUUAUUCUAAUUAGGAUCCUAUUACUGUGGUUGUACAUGAUGUGGAGUUACACUGGUUGUGUAUUCAUAUAUAAGAAUAGGAAAAUUAUGUAUAAUUCAUUCUAUUGUCUUUCUUGUUCCAAUUUCUCCUUCCUUCCCUUCGUUCCCCUUUAUUUAAUCUAGUGAACUUUUAUUCUCCUCCCACCCCUUUUACUUUGUGUUAGCAUCCAGAUAUCAGAACAUUUAGCCUUUGUUUUUUAUGGAAUGGCUUAUUUCACUUAGCUUUAUAGUCUCCAGUUCUAUCCAUUUACCACCAUAUGCCAUAAUCCCAUUCUUCUUUAUUGCUGAGUAAUAUUCCAUUGUGUAUAUAUAUGUCCCACAUUUUCUUUAUCUAUUCAUCUGUUGAAGGGUACUAGGUUGGUUACAUAGCUUUGCUAUUGUGAAUUGAGCUCUAUACCGUUGAUGUGGCUGCAUCACUGUAGAAUGCUGAUUUUAAGUCCUUUGGAUGUAAACUGGAAGAAUGGGAUAGCUGGGUCAAAUGGUGGUUUCACUUCAAGUUUUCUGAGGAAUUUUCAUACUGCUUUCUAUAGUGGUUUUACAAUUUGCAGUCCCACCAGCAAUGUAUGAGUGAACCUUUUCUCUAACAUCCUCGCCAACAUUUACUGUUACUUGUAUCUUGAUAAUUGCCCUUCUGACUGUAGUGAGAUGGAAUCUUGGUGUAGUUUUAAUUUGAAUUUCUUUAACUGCUGGAGAUGUUGAACAUUUUUUUUUAUAUAUUUGUUGACCAUUCAUGUUUGUUCUUCUGUGAAGUGACUGUUCAGUUCCUUUGCCCA
This 851-nucleotide long non-coding RNA is filed under the name Marmota monax (woodchuck). Lineage: Eukaryota; Metazoa; Chordata; Mammalia; Rodentia; Sciuridae. The record is from RNAcentral.